This 32791-nucleotide long non-coding RNA is filed under the name Triticum aestivum (bread wheat). Its description in RNAcentral is "long non-coding RNA (TAES_LNC003152)". The record is from RNAcentral. Lineage: Eukaryota; Viridiplantae; Streptophyta; Magnoliopsida; Poales; Poaceae.
AACACCUGACAUUUAAUUUUUAUUAUAGCAAAUAACAUUUGACCAUGCACAACAAAAUAUUUUCCAAACCUUCAUAUGUUCUACAAAUUUAUAAUCAGAUCUUGGUCUCAUUUUUUUCACAUAAAGUAAAUGCCAACUAAUGGCCAGCCAAGCAAAUUACACUUGUCCCUAGUACCACCUACAAGAGACACAAGUGGAGGCAUGCAUGCAAGCCUAACCACGCAUGCAUGCCAAUGUAAUGCCUCUCCAAACUAUAAAUAGGAGCCGUUCCUUUCAUUGUGGUCCAUUCCACCUCACACACACACAUACACCGGAGUAUCCCCACCACUUGCCUUUUCACCUUCUGCCACACUAUUUUCCUUCAUUGUGUUGAAGCCCUUUGGGCUGCAUGCGCCACCAGGUACUAAUCAAGUACCUUGUUGUGUUACCCUUUUUGCUUGACUUCUUAUCUAUCUUCACCUCGGUUUGAAUCAGUCCAUGAGCCUCUAUUCACCUCGAUCUAUUUACCUUGCUGUAAGAAGAACAAAAUGUUUGUGUAAACACCCAAGUUAAUCAAAACUAAUUAGAUCAAUUGCAAAAGCUUGUAAAAGUUUCUAUGAAUGACAUCUACGGCUGGUACUAGAUCUAACAUGCCAAGAAUCAAAUCCUAAGUACUAGUAACUUGCUAAGACAUGUAUGUGUGUAUCCAAAAGAUCAAUCUUCCUGUGUAUACUACCUUGUUCUAAUUAUUAAUCCCCGCCAAUCUGUAGCAAACAUUGAGUGAUUGAUGUUUAUAAUCUACUCACAAGUAAUUAAUUUUGGAGUUUCACUGCCACUAUUUGCUUCUAUAUGGUGUUCAAGGAUGAGUAGCACUAGUUAGGAACAACAUUUAGAUCUAAUCAGUAGCAAUACCAUGACCACGCCAUAGAUUAAAUCUUGAUUAAUUUCGUGGCCUUGAGAUAAACAAAGAGAAUGAAGGCAAUAUGGCUGAGUGGGCAGUAGUAGGGCCUGAGAUAAAAUGAACAAUAUAUGCACACCCACGUUGACAUCUAGCAAGCACUUGAUGUGAAAUUUGGAACACUUGAUGGAGAAGGAAUUAGAAUUAGUACUUACCAGUAGUAGCAGCAGAUUGUGGCUAGUCCACACCGUUAGCAGCAGAGCCAUGUGACCGAGCAGCGCCGGUGAAGCCGCACACGCCCGACGCCCGUGGUUGCACGCCUCGUGCGUGUGGCUACGCUGGGGGAGGAUAUAGGCAUGGAGACGUCAUUGCCCUGCAGCCGGUGGCAAGCCCACCGGACCUGAAUUAGGCGGCGGUAGGAUUGAGUGGUGGCGACGUUUUUGGCGGCGGUGGAUAAAGUAAAUAGGGGGAAAUGGUAGAGGGAGACGAGGAGAAUCUAUAGGUGUACACCGUGUCGCCGGAGAUGCCCGGAUGGGGCAGAUCGAGGCGGCGGCGGCCAUGCUCUGUUCUUAGGGAGAGAGAGAGAGAGGUGGAUGGUUGGUUCUGUUCUUGGGAUAGCAGAGAACACGAGGAGAGAAAUGAGCUGGGUUCAACGAGUAAGAGCAUCUCCAGCCGCCCCCAACAGGCCCUCCAGGCGACUUUUUCAGUGCCGGCGCCAAAAAAACGUCCAAUCGCGCCCCCAGGACGACGAAAAGUGCCGGUUCAGCCCUUUUUUCCGCCCGGCGGCCACAGGUCUUACCCGGCGCACUGGGGGCGAUCGGGGGCUCCGGCACAAGGGAAAAGCGCGGCUGGCCCAUGUCGUCAGGUGAAAAGUCAAGAUUUUCUUCCCCGACUCGCCUCCCACCCCUCCCCCCUCCCGCGCCCUCGGCCGCCACAAGCUAUAUCCCGGUGCCGCCCCGCCGCCCUUCACCGCUAGAUAGCCAUUCCUCGCCGGAAAAAUAGCAGAGGUUCACCGCGGCAGCCCCUCCGACAGCAGUUGGGCGUUUCCGGCCGCCGUUUUCGGCCGCGGAGGGGCAGUUUAGCGGCGGGUGCAUGCCCACCGGGCGCAAGGUGUUCGGUGAUUUGCCUGCUUCGGCGAUGGACUCGGAUGACGAGGAAGCACUCGCCACGCUACUGGAGGAGGAAGCCGAGGCCGACGUCCAGGAAGAAAGACCAUCUCAUGGUGCUCGCCGCUGCUACGUCUUGAGCUUGUGUUGGUUUUCCUUGAAGAGGAAAGGGUGAUGCAGCAAUAGUAGCGUAAGUAUUUCCCUCAGUUUUUGAGAACCAAGGUAUCAAUCCAGUAGGAGGCUCCUCAAAAGUCCCACACACCUACACAAACAAACAAAGAACUCGCAACCAACACAAUAAAGGGGUUUGCAAUCCCUUCACGGCCACUUGCGAAAGUGAGAUCUGAUAGAGAUAGUAUGAUAAGAUAAAUAUAUUUUGGUAUUUUAUAAUAUAGAUGCGAAAAGUAAAGAUGCAAAUAAAGGUAGAUUGAAAGCUUAUAUGAUAAAAGAUAGACCCGGGGGCCAUAGGUUUCACUAGUGGCUUCUCUCAAGAUAGCAUAAGUAUUAAGGUGGGUGAACAAAUUACUGUUGAGCAAUUGAUACAAAAUCGAAUAAUUAUGAGAUUAUCUAGGCAUGAUCAUGUAUAUAGGCAUCACGUCCGUGACAAGUAGACCAACUCCUGCCUGCAUCUAUUACUAAUACUCCACACAUCGACCGCUAUCCAGCAUGCAUCUAGAGUAUUAAGUUCAUAAGAAUAGAGUAACGCAUUAAGAAAGAUGACAUGAUGUAGAGGGAUAAACUCAAGCAAUAUGAUAUAAACUCCAUCUUUUUAUACUCGAUAGCAACAAUACAAUACGUGCCUUGCAACCCUUUCUGUCACUGGGUAAGGACACUGUAAGAUUGAACCCAAAGCUAAGCACUUCUCCCAUGGCAAGAAAGAUCAAUCUAGUAGGCCAAACCAAACUGAUAAUUCGAAGAGACUUGCAAAGAUAACUCAAUCAUACAUAAGAGAAUUUAGAGAAGAUUCAAAUAUUUCUCAUAGAUAAACUUGAUCAUAAACCCACAAUUCAUCGGAUCUCGACAAACACACCGCAAAAAGAGUUUACAUCGAAUAGAUCUCCACAAGAGAGGGGGAGAACGUUGUAUUGAGAUCAAUGAAUAGAGAAGAAGCCAUGUUGCUAAUAACUAUGGACCCGAAGGUCUGUGGUAAACUACUCACAACUCAUCGGAGGGGCUAUGGUGUUGACGUAGAAGCCCUCCGUGGCCGAUUCCCCCUCCGGCGGAGCACCGGGGAACGCUCCAAGAUGGGAUCUUGCGGAUACCGAAGGUUAUGGCGGUGGAAAUUGUUUUUCAUUGGCUCCCUGGAUGUUUUCAGGGUACGUAGGUAUAUAUAGGAUGAAGAAGUACGUCGUGGCCGCUCGUGGGGCCCAAGAGACAGGGGGCGCGCCCAGGAGGAGUGGGUGCGCCCUGCUAUCUCCUGGCUGCCUUGAUUGCUUCUUGACUUGCACUCCAAGUCCUAUGGAUCACGUUCGUUCCAAAAAUCACGCUCCCGAAGGUUUCAUUCCGUUUAGACUCCGUUUGAUAUUCCUUUUCUUCGAAAUACUGAAAUAGGCAAAAAAACAGCAAUACGGGCUGGGCCUCCGGUUAGUAGGUUAGUCCCGAAAAUAAUAGAAAUGUGUAAAAUAAAGCCCAUAAAUAUCCAAAAGGGGUAAUAUAAUAGCAUGGAACAAUAAAAAAUUGUAGAUACGUUGGAGACGUAUCAAGCAUCCCCAAGCUUAAUUCCUGCUCGUCCUCGAGUAGGUAAAUGAUAAAAACAGAAUUUUUGAUGUGGAAUUCUACCUAGCAUAAUUCUCAAUGUAAUUUUCUUUAUUGUGGCAUGAAUGUUCAGAUCCAAAUGAUUCAAAAUAAAAGUUCAUAUUGACAUAAGAAAUAGUAAUACUUCAAGCAUACUAACUAAGCAAUCAUGUCUUCUCAAAAUAACAUGGCUAAAAAAGUUCAUCCCUACAAAAUCAUAUAGUUAGGCUAUGCUUCAUUUUCGUCACACAAAAAUGUUCCCAAAUUCUACACCCCCGAUGACAAGCCAAGUAAUUGGUUCGUACUUAAAUAAUCUCAAACUUUUCAACUUUCACGCAAUACAUGAGCGUGAGCCAUGGAUAUAGCACUAUGGGUGGAAUAGAAUAUGAUAAUGGGGAUUGUGUGGAGAAGACAAAAAAGGAGAAAGCUUCGCAUUCACGAGGAUAAUCAAUGGGCUAUGGAGAUGCCCAUCAAUUGAUGUCAACAUGACGAGUAGGGAUUGCCAUGCAACGGAUGCACUAGAACUAUAAAUGAAUGCUCAACAAAACAAAACUAGUGGGUGUGCAUCCAACUUGCUUGCUCACGAAGACCUAGGGCAAUUGAGGAAGCCCAUCGUAGGAAUAUACAAGCCAAGUUCUAUAAUGAAAAAUUCCCACUAGUAUAUUAAAGUUACAACCUAUGAGACUCACUAUAUGAAAAAUAUGGUGCUAUUUUGAAGCACAAUAUAUGAGACUCACUACAUGAAGAACAUGGUGCUACUUUGAAGCACAAGUGUGGAAAAAGAGAUAGUAACAUUGCCCCUUUUAUUUAUUUAUUUCUUUUUCUUUUUUCCCCUUUUUGGGCCUUUUUUUGGCCUUUCUUUUUUUUCUUUGGGACAAUGCUCUAAUAAUGAUGAUCAUCACACUUUUAUUGAUUACAACACAUGAAUUACAACUCAAAACUAGAACAAGAUAUGACUCUAUAUGAAUGCCUCCGAUGGUGUACCGGGAUGGUGCAAUGAAUCAAGAGUGACAUGUAUGAAAAAGUAUGCAUGGUGGCUUUGACACAAAUACGAUGUCAACUACAUAAUCAUGCAAUGGAAAUAUGACAAAAGUAAUGUAUGUCAUGAUGAUGAACGGAACGGUGGAAAGUUGCAUGGCAAUAUAUCUCGGAAUGGCUAUGGAACUGCCAUAAUAGGUAGGUAUGGUGGCUGUUUUGAGGAAGAUAUAAGGAGGUUUAUGUGUGAUAGAGCGUAUCAUAUCACGGGGUUUGGAUGCACCGGCGAAGUUUGCACCAACUCUCAAGGUGAGAAAGGGCAAUGCACGGUACCAAAGAGGCUAUCAAUGAUGGAAAGGUAAAAGUGUGUAUAAUCCAUGGACACAACAUUAGUCAAAAGAACUCAUAUACUUAUUGCAAAAAUUUAGAAGUCAUCAAAAACCAAGCACUACGCGCAUGCUCCUAGAGGGAUAGAUUGGUAGGAAAAGACCAUCGCUCGUCCUCGACCGCCACUCAUAAGGAUGCACAAGCCAGGUACACUUCAUGUUUCAAAUUUGUUACACAACUUUAACCAUACGUGCAUGCACCGGGACUUGCUAACUUCAACACAAGCAUUCUUUAAAUUCAUAAUCACCCAACUAGCAUGACUUUAAUAUCACUACCUCCAUAUCUCAAAACAAUUAUCAAGUAUCAAAUUGAUCAUAGCAUCCAAUUCACUUCCUAUGAUAGUUUUUAUUAUACCCAACUUGGAUGCCUACCAUUCCAGGACCAAUUUUAUAACCAAAGCAAAUAGCAUGAUGUUCUAAAAGACUCUCAAAAUAAUAUAAGUGAAUCAUGAGAGAUUAGCAAUUUCUACAAAAUUAAGCCACCGCCAUGCUCUAAAAGAUAUAAGUGAAGCACUAGAGCAAAAACUAUCAAGCUCAAAAGGUAUAAGUGAAGCACAUAGCAUAUUCUAAUAAAUUCAAUCAAGUAGGCUUCUCCCAAAAGGUGUGUAUAGCAAGGAUGAUUGUGGAAAACUAAAAAGCAAAGACUAAUAUAAUACACGACGCUCCAAGCAAAACACAUAUCAUGUGGCGAAUAAAAAUAAAGCUCCAAGUAAAGUUACCAAUGAACAAAGACGAAAGAGGGGAUGCCUUCCCGGGGCAUCCCCAAGCUUAGGCUUUUGGCUAUCCUUGAAUAUCUUGGGGUGCCAUGGGAAUCCCCAAGCUUACGCUCUUGCCACUCCUUAUUCCAUAGUGCAUCAAAGCUUUACCCAAAACUUGAAAACUUCACAACACAAAACUCAACAGGAAAUCUUAUAAGCUCCGUUAGUGAAACAAAACAAAACCACCACAUAAGGUAAUGUAAUGAACUCAUUAUUUAUUUAUUUUGCUGUUAAACCUACUGUAUUCCAACUUCUCUAUGGUUUAUAAACUAUUUUACUAGACAUAGAUGCAUCAAAAUAAGCAAACAACACACGAAAAACAGAAUAUGUCAAAAACAAAACAGUCUGUAGCAAUCUGUAACUAACGCAAAUUUCUGGAACUUUAAAACUCCUACCAAAAUAGGAAGUCCUGGAAAAAUUGCCUAUUGAUCAGUAGCAAAAAAUAAUUAACGCAAAAGAAAGUUUUUGUGAUUUAACAAAACUAAUUUCGUGCGUUCAAGGUUUCUGUUUUUCAGCAGAACCAAAUCAACUAUCACCAUAGGUUAUCCUAUAGGUUCUACUUGGCACAAACACUAAUUAAAACAUAAAAACACAUCUAAACAGAAGGUAGAUGCAAAAUUUAUUACUAAACAGAAACAAAAACAAAAAACACAAAUAAAAUUGGGUUGCCUUCCAACUAGCACUAUCGUUUAACGCCCUUAGCUAGGCUUAAAAGCGAAGAUAGAUCUAAGUAGUGCCAUCUUUGGCACUCAAUUCAUAAGUAGCUCGCAUGAUAGAUUCAUAAGGUAAUUUGACUUUAUUUAUUGGAAAGUUCCCCAUGCCUUUCCUUAAUGGAAAUUGGAAUCUAACAUUCCCUUCCUUCAUAUGAAUAAUCGCACCAAUCGUUCUAAGGAAAGGUCUACCAAGAAUAAUAGGGCAAGAAAGAUUGCAAUCUAUAUCAAGAACGAUAAAAUCUACGGGAACCAAAUUUCUAUUUGCAACAAUGAGAACAUCAUUGAUCCUCCCCAUUGGCUUUUUAAUGGUCGAAUCUGCAAGGUGCAAAUUUAAAGAGCAAUCAUCAAGAUCAUGGAAACCUAGAAUAUCACAUAAAGUUUUCGGAAUCGUGGAAACACUAGCACCCAAAUCAUACCGAGCAAAACACUAAUGAUAUUUAAUUAUAAUCUUUAUAGUAGGUUCCCACUCAUCAUUAACUUUUCUAGGUAUAGAAACUUCCAAAUUAAGUUUUUCAUCAUAAGAUUGCAUCAAGGAUAUGUUUGGUAAAAGCUUUAUUUUGACUAUAAGCAUGAGGAGAAUUAACAAGGGAUUGCAACAAGGAAAUACAACCUUCUAAAGAGCAAUUACCACAAUCAAAUUCCUUGAAAUCCGAGAUAGUGGGUUCAAUACUAUUUAAAGUCAUGACCUCUCCAAUCCCACUUUACCAAAUCUAGCAUCAAGAUCUAAAAACUCCGAAUUAUUGGGACGCCUUCUAACUAAAGUUGACUCAUCUACAGUCCCAUCAUUAUCAAGUUUCAUAUUGCAAAACAAAGAUCUAAUAGGAGACACAUCAAUAACUUUAAGAUCUUCAUCAUUAUUUUCAUCUAACUUUUCUGGUUUGGCGGCCAUCUUAUCGACUAAGGUGGCUUGCUUAUCAGAAGCUUUAUGUCUUUAUUCAUAUCAUCAAGCUCCUUAUUCAUAAACCCCAAAAAACCUUUUUGUUCUUUAAGCUCUUUUCUGAAGAAAUUAUUAUGCUCAGAUUGAAAAGUCAUAAAGCUUCUAAUGUUCGAUUCAAUCUCUUCCAACCUUAUAAGAAGGAGGUCGGUACUCUUAGGCAAAGCCAUAAGGACAAACAGGAACACAAGCAAACAGAAAAAGGCAAGCGAAAAAGAGAAGAGGAGAAGAUUGGGAAAGAGAGGGCGAAUAAAACGGCAAGGGUGAAGUGGGGGAGAGGAAAACGAGAGGCAAAUGGCAAAUAAUGUAAAUGCGAGGGAGAUAAGUUUGUGAUGGGUACUUGGUAUGUCUUGACUUGAGCGAAGACCUCCCCGGCAACGGCACCAGAAAUCCUUCUUGCUACGUCUUGAGCUUGUGUUGGUUUUCCUUGAAGAGGAAAGGGUGAUGCAACAAUAGUAGCAUAAGUAUUUCCCUCAGUUUUUGAGAACCAAGGUAUCAAUCCAGUAGGAGGCUCCUCAAAAGUCCCACACACCUAAACAAACAAAGAACUCGCAACCAACGCAAUAAAGGGGUUGUCAAUCCCUUCACGGCCACUUGCGAAAGUGAGAUCUGAUAGAGAUAGUAUGAUAAGAUAAAUAUAUUUUUGGUAUUUUAUAAUAUAGAUGCGAAAAGUAAAGAUGCAAAUAAAGGUAGAUUGAAAGCUUAUAUGAUAAAAGAUAGACCCGGGGGCCAUAGGUUUCACUAGUGGCUUCUCUCAAGAUAGCAUAAGUAUUACGGUGGGUGAACAAAUUACUGUCAAGCAAUUGAUAGAAAAGUGAAUAAUUAUGAGAUUAUCUAGGCAUGAUCAUGUAUAUAGGCAUCACGUCCGUGACAAGUAGACCGACUCCUGCCUGCGUCUACUACUAUUACUCCACACAUCGGCCGCUAUCCAACAUGCAUCUAGAGUAUUAAGUUCAUAAGAACAGAGUAACGCAUUAAGAAAGAUGACAUGAUGUAGAGGGAUAAAGUCAAGCAAUAUGAUAUAAACCCCAUCCUUUUAUCCUUGAUGGUAACAAUACAAUACGUUCCUUGCAACUCUUUCUGUCACUGGGUAAGGACACCGCAAGAUUGAACCCAAAGCUAAGCACUUCUCCCAUGGCAAGAAAGAUCAAUCUAGUAGGCCAAACCAAACUGAUAAUUCGAAGAGACUUGCAAAGAUAACUCAAUCAUACAUAAAAGAAUUCAGAGAAGAUUCAAAUAUUUCUCAUAGAUAAACUUGAUCAUAAACCCACAAUUCAUCGGAUCUCGACAAACACACUGCAAAAAGAGUUUACAUCGAAUAGAUCUCCACAAGAGAGGGGGAGAACAUUGUAUUGAGAUCCAAAAAGAGAGAAGAAGCCAUCUAGCUAAUAACUAUGGACCCGAAGGUCUGUGGUAAACUACUCACAACUCAUCGGAGGGGCUAUGGUGUUGAUGUAGAAGCCCUCCAUGGUCGAUUCCCCCUCCGGCGGAGCGCCGGUGAAGGCUCCAAGAUGGGAUCUCGCGGAUACAGAAGGUUACGGCGGUGGAAAAUGUUUUUUGUUGGCUCCCUGGAUGUUUUUGGGGUACGUAGGUAUAUAUAGGAGGAAGAAGUACGUCGGCGCCCUCCUAUCUCCUGGCCACCUCGAUUGCUUCUUGACUUGCACUCCAAGUCCUCUAGAUCACGUUCGUUCCAAAAAUCACGCUCCCGAAGGUUUCAUUCCGUUUGGACUCCGUUUGAUAUUCCUUUUCUUCGAAAUACUAAAAUAGGCAAAAAAAUAGCAAUACAGUCUGGGCCUUCGGUUAGUAGGUUAGUCCCAAAAAUGAUAUAAAUGUGUAAAAUAAAGCCCAUAAACAUCCAAAAGGGGUAAUAUAAUAGCAUGAAACAAUCAAAAAUUAUAGAUACAUUGGAGACGUAUCAACCGCCCUCGCCCAACUGCUGGCGAGCAAUGAAAAUCCGCGGCGAGGUGGCUCGACGCCGGGGCGGGUGAAAGCAAAGAACCGGCAUCGUCUCGAAGGCUACUGCAUGCUCUACUCCGACUACUUCGCCGAUGCUCCACUUCACGGCGACAAAACAUUUCGGCGCCGUUAUCGGAUGAGCCGAAAGCUCUUCCUUAGGAUUGUGAAUUCCAUCCGGGAGUUCGACAACUACUUCAAAUGCAAGAUGGAUUGCACCAGCAAACUUGGAUUAACCUCGAUCUAGAAGUGCACGAUAGCGAUGAGGAUGCUUGCAUACGGAGCUCCCGGUGACUCACAGGACGACUAUGGGCGCAUGGCCGAGUCCACCAGCAUAGAGUGUUUCUAUAAGUUCUGUCGGGCAGUGGUGGUAGUGUUUGGACCGCAAUACUUGAGAACACCCAAUGCGGAAGAUACUGCUCGGAUCCUAGCACAAAAUGCAGCAAGAGGAUUUCCUGGGAUGUUUGGAAGCAUCGACUGCAUGCAUUGGAAAUGGAAGAAUUUCCCAUUUGCUUGGCAGGGGAUGUACAAAGGCGCCAAAGGCGGUUGCAGUGUGGUACUUGAGGUGGUGCCCACACAGGACCACUGGAUUUGGCACUCCUUCUUUGGUAUGCCAGGAACUCACAAUGACAUCAACGUGCUGUAGUGCUCUCCUGUCUUUGCAAAGCUUGUUGAAGGUCAUUCUCCUCCGGUGAACUUCAAGAUCAAUGGGCGGCACUACAACAAGGGGUACUAUCUAGCUGAUGGCAUCUAUCCAAGAUGGUCGACAUUUGUGAAGACCAUCACAAACCCUGUGCCAGGAGGCAAGAACGUCUGAUUUGCGAAGAUUCAGGAGGCUUGCAGGAAGGAUGUCGAGCGGGCAUUUGGUGUGCUCCAAUCUCUAUUUGCUGUUGUCCGGUACCCCGCUCAGACCUGGUCCAAAGAUCAAAUGUGGGAUAUCAUGACCUGUUGUGUCAUCUUGCACAACAUGAUCAUUGAGAGCGAGCAUGAAGAGCCAGUGUUUCACACUGAACCAUACCACAGGUAGGGUCAUCUUGCCCAAGUUGAUCACCAGCUACCGGCAACUUGGACUGCCUACCUCAGUAUGCGUCAGGAGAUCCGAGACCCACAAGUGCAUCAUCAACUGCAGCAAGAUCUGAUAGAGCACCUAUGGAGGCUCAAGGGCGACGCCGGGCGCGACGUGUGAUGAAAUAUGAGUUUUUAUUUGUUGAACUAUAUAAUUUGUAUUAAACUAUUUGUUGUUGUACUAUUUUGUUGAAGUAUUUGAUUUUUCUGUGAUGAAAUAUGUGAUAAAAAAUAUAUUUAUGUUGGUAACUGAACGCCGAGCCACGACGAACCAUGCCGAAUAUGGGCCUAUUCUCGCCCAUAUGGGACCUUUUCGCCGAAAUGGGGCUUGAAAAGUGGGCCAACAUCGGCAUCUGGGGGCGAGCUCGGGGAGACGACUGGGCGCAAAACCGCCCCCAGCGCCGAAUGUAUCACCAGCNNNNNNNNNNNNNNNNNNNNNNNNNNNNNNNNNNNNNNNNNNNNNNNNNNNNNNNNNNNNNNNNNNNNNNNNNNNNNNNNNNNNNNNNNNNNNNNNNNNNNNNNNNNNNNNNNNNNNNNNNNNNNNNNNNNNNNNNNNNNNNNNNNNNNNNNNNNNNNNNNNNNNNNNNNNNNNNNNNNNNNNNNNNNNUUUUUACUCGCGGGACUGAAUGGCAUACAUGCAUGCUACUCUGAUUUGGAUAGCUUGAUGCAUUUUAUCUCUCAAUGAAACACUAGGACGUAUCACAACCUAGUUAAUUAAUUAUGGCUUGCCCAACAUGGCCGUGUUGCUAGAUCUUUAGAUUUUAAAUUAGGAAAUAUAAACAUGUUUGUGAAAUAAUUAUCAGGAGCAGAUCUCGGAUCCGUCGGAGCCACGCCCGGUGGUUCCGAGUUUGUCGAAGCACUAUCCGGCAAGUCGUCAUCUCCUUGACCAUGUCUUGGUAAAUGUUUUUCGGGUUAUGGGUCAUUUCCAAAAUUUUGCAUACGAAUUAAAUAUAAAUAUUUUUCAUAAAUAAAAUGAAAUUUGGAUCAGGUGGAUCCACUGAUUUGGCAAUUGGACCAGAUCAGGUGAAGCAUCUGUAUUAAGUAGCAGUGACCCGGGUAGGGUUACAAUAUAAAUAAAUAUUUGGUGGGUAGGGGAGCUCAUGUUGGUGAAAGCAACCAAGGGAGGGUAGGCUUGGAUGGCAGGCUCCUCUACAUAGGGUAUCACAUUAGGACACAACCAACUAGCGCUUACUUCAAAAGCGGCGCAAGUAGCUGCCUCUGCAUGGCUGAGAAGGUGGUUGUAGCUGGGUAGGUACAAUCACCCUAGGGCGGGACCAUCGGUCAAGGGUCUCGACUCGCGGGCCUUUAGUAAGGCAAGGUGGAAAAGCAGAGGUAGUGUACGGGCUGGUUAAAGGUUCUGGUUCCUUUGUCUUGUCGUGUGCACGGGUAGCACAUGAACGACUUGGACCAAGUGAUGCUAUGGGCAAAGCAGUACACCUCUGAUCAGAGUAAAUGUGAUAUCACUCCCAGCUUCCGGGUUUGGAAGUGCGUCGUGUGGGUUUUCGUCUAACACAGGAUUUAAGAUCCGACGUCGCUUUGUCUCCUGUAGAUUUUAUAAAUAAAAUUUGGUUUUCAACAAAAUGGGUUAAGAGAAAAUAUUUUUACUUACAAAGUAUUUUGAGCUAAUGGCUCGAUGGUUGUAGCCGUGGCCGAUAAAGUUUUUCCUCUUUAAAGACUCAUGCAUCCACUUUUCCAGGUGACUUGCGAAGUACGUAUUUUAUACGUACUCAGUUGCACUUAUGUUGUUUUUCAGAACAAGAGAGUUAUGAGAACUCUAAGGCGAUAGAGAAUGGUACUUAUGAUGAGUCUGGUCAUAUUAAUGACUUCGGUUAUUCUGAAGUGGAGAAUGUUUAUGAGGAAGUCGACAAUCAAGGCUAUGAAGAGUAGAUGCCUACCAUGGUUGGUCUAGAAGGCUCGUAACUAGAAAUGGAUGACGAUCUAUCGUCAUGGUCGCUUAGUCUUAGUCGACACUUCAGGUGUCAAUGUAAUACAAGCUUGCCUACUCAUGGCAGCUGCACCGUCUUGUAUAUGAUACUGUUCUCCUUAACUGAUCCUGGCGCAACUCUGAAGUGACGGCUUCCGUUACGCCUGACUUUGUCGGACGUAACAGGGCGUCACGGAAGAGGUGGUAUCAGAGCCACGCCAAGGAAGCAGUCAUGUACUUAGUUAGAGACUGUCCGAGCCCUAGGAAAGAUAUGUUUGCUCCUUACCUAAAAUAAAAUAAGAGUUUUCAAAAAAAAAUCAUCCCUUCUCAAGUUCUACCUCUCCUAUGUAUAUAUACGUUUUGUGUAAAAAUAUAACUCAAGUCAAGUGAAGAUUAAAUAAUUUAGACCACACAAUAUAACUAACUAAAUUCUUAAUUGCUUAAUGUAGGAUGACGAGUGGUAGGUUGUUUGGUAUGGGUGCUGAGUAUGGUGGUUUUGCUCUGUUCUUGGUUGAGCUUCUUGGUCUUCUCGGUGUGUUGAUUGCACCAUACUACACAGUGUUUCACGACCCGUGUUCCACGGGGUACUUAGUCAUGGUGCACAUUCCUGAGAGCUUAGAUGUCCCUUCUAGGUUCAGUGUUGCAUGUUACGACUUUGUUUCAGCACUUCAGGGUGCGGCACGGGAUGCCGCUUUACACCUUUUCCAUGCCUACCACCCUUUCCUUGAGUACGUGGGCAGAGGCGAGUGGCCUCAUCAGUUAGAGGAGGCAGGGUGUUCGUCUGCACCUACGCCCACUGUCGCUCCUUCGCCUUUUGCGUCCACUUCCGCUUUCCCUCCACUUCCACCACGUCCUCUUGUCUUACCUCCCACAUUUUUACCACCACCAGCUCCGACUGCCGCUCGUCCACCUCUGUACCUGACGGUCCCACCCACUCGUGCAGACCGCCCAUCUCCUAGAGUCUCAAGGGGUUCCUCCUCUCGAGCAGUGUCACGUCCCUCGACACCGUACGAGCGUCCACCUACACCUCAGCUUGUUCAGGACCUGUUAGAUCAGGUUGACACUCUUCAGAGGCGCUGCUCCGAGCUCGAGCGGGCGAACAACGAGCUGUCCUCUGCAUUGAGGGGCUACACCCGUCCGGGUAUGGCCCUCAACCCUCUUCAGAUCGACAGCUCACCUUCCGCCUCUCGAGGCAAGAUAGGGUACCCGAUUGACUAGUGGUCUCUUGUCACCGACGAGCCUUCCUCUCAGGUUCCUCCUACCCUGAGUUCCGUUGUAGUGCCACCACCUACAGAGCACACUCCCCACACUCCACCAGGUUCUCCGCCCUCCAUCCCUGCUCCAUCUUCUCUUGAUGGCACCCCCGAGUUUUCAGUGAUCGGCGUCACUUACUCAGAGCUUCUAGCACUUGACUCCCGCCAGGUGUCUUCUCAGCCCAUGGAGUACCUUCGUGUCGCUUCUGAGGUCACUCCCUCUGAGCACACUCCUUCUGAGUACCCGCUUAGCACCAUCAGCGUACCCGAGUCUGAUGCUGCUGCACCGAGUGUGUCUCUACCUGCACCGACUUCUGCCCUCGACCCCGACUUGCUCCUCACCGUUUCACCUAGUACUCUUGUCAGGGAGGAUUGACUUGCUACCAGUAGUAGUAGUAGUUAGUAUUCUGGCAAGGUUGUAGCAUCGUGCUAGAUAGCUACUCCUCCCAGAGUUAGUUUCGCCACUUAUUAGAGGUUUAGGCAGAUGCAUGGAGGUUGUCCUUUUGGAUCUUGUACAUAUCUGGAAAGGUCUUGUAGACGUAGCUACCCUUCCAGAGUUUGCACAGCCGUAGUUAGUCAGACUAGUUCCGACGGACUGAUUGGUCGGCAGAUAUACUUUUGUUCCAGGUACACGUGUAGAUAGCUGUGGUAGCCUGAUGAUGCAUGACAUAGAGUCAUAUGUGGUGUUGCAACUAUGUUAUGUGAUGUAUCCAUGUGGACUGGUGGACUUAUGCAUGUACUAAUAUUCUAUUACUAGAUGAUCUCGUGUGAUGCAGGCGCCAUGCCUCCAUGUUCAUUUUUUAUAUAUAUUUUUAUGCAUUCCUAACUCUGUUGAAUGGAAUAUUGUAUGUGAUGAUGCUGCUACAUUGCUGCUAGUACUUCAUAAUGACAUGUGAUGUAUGGUAAAUUUUAUUUGGUGAUCUCCUUCACUCAAUUACAUGCCUUGAUACAUCACAUUUUUCCUAGCACUUCAUGAGUUCAAAUGAUGUAUGUCCGACACUUGAUGCGUAUAUGCUUUUAGUCAUGUACGUGAAGAGCUUGUGUGUGGGCGUGCAUGUGCAAGUGGCUCUAUUUUUUUUUACCUUAUGAUUAAUCUCUUGUCUCCGUUAUGAUAAAAAAAUCAAUUUGUCUGACUGUAUUUAUUCUUUGGCCAACAACCAGUAAAAAAAUCUAGUAUGCCUUAAGUGCACUGAUUAAAGUGAUGCUCAAAGAAUAAUAAAGGAAGGUAAGCGUGAUGCGUACUGUUUGAGCUAAAAUCUCAUCGCUAAUUAAACAAAUAAAAUUAUUUUACAUAAACUAGCUAUCGUAAUAACCUAUGUCUUGCCCACCAGUUUGGUAGCGAUGGCAUCUAGUAGUCAGUCGUUCGAAGACAAUGGGAACCCAUCAGAUUUAGCACCUGAGUCGCUAAGGAACAUGGCAGAUUUGCUGUCUAGAGUGAUGUUACCUCCACCGCCAUCAUUACCCCCUCAUGCCUCGGGAUCCGAUCAACUUGCUCUAAUGUACCAGUGGAUGGAGCAAUCUCGUCGAGACUCUCUAGAACACCAAAAUAAGUUCAUGGAACAAAUGUUUGAUAUGAUCUGAGGCCAACUGACUAAAAACUCAGAACAAGGUGUCACGAUUGGAGACUUCCAAAAGACUAGACCACCAACCUUUUCAACUGCCACAUAUCCAUUAGCCGUAGAUGAUUGGUUGAUGGACAUAGAGCUGAAACUUAACACCGUGGGAUGCACGGAUCAAGAAAAGGUUUGGUAUGCAUCCCAUCAGUUAAUUAGUCCUGCUGCCACAUGGUGGAGAAAUGUCCAAAUUAUCUUACCAGAAAACCACAGUCACUUGGGACGAAUUUAAGAGGAUAUUCCAAGAUAACUAUGUCCCGCAAAGUGCGAAGGAAAUAAAAAGGAAGGAAUUCCUGAACCUUAAUCAAGGGUCUAAAACCAUCGCAGAGUACCUAGAUGAAUUUAACUCACUAUCCCGCUAUGCACCAGAGGACACAAAUACUGAGACCAAAAAGGUGUACCGGUUCAUAGAAGGACUGAACCCAUCCAUACAACUUAUUAUAGCUCCUAUAAAAAUAACUGAGUUCUAGGAGCUAGUAGACCGAGUCAUUACAAUCGAGAACCGGAAAAUCGCCGUAGAGGAAGAGCACAGGAAGAAAGCUAGGAUGGACCCAAGGUUUGCCGUGAGAAGUGGAAAUCGUCAUGUUGGCCUAGUCCGCGUGCCAAUGGUCGGGCCCAUCCGUCCUCCUUUCCGUCAAGCUCCUAGACCACCUUUUAUGCCUCCAAGAGCCCCUAUCAAAUGUCGCGUGUGCAAUGGACCACACUUGGCUCGAGAUUGCCCAAAGGCGAGUGUUGUUUGUUUUGGUUGUGGACAAAAGGGACACUACAAAAACCAGUGCCCAAGCAAGAGUCAACCACAAUCUGGCACAAAUGGAGUUGUCCCACCUCAAAAUAAGUGUCAGGCUAAUUCAAUCCAAGUACACGGGAAUGCGUCUACUGCCAACCGCGGGCAUGGUCGUGGCGGUCUCACACGUGGACCAUUCUGCCUGGCACAUAUGGAUGUGGCACAAGUGGAGUCAGCUUUAGACAUAGUGACGGGUAACCUACUAAUCCCUCCUGGAGUAGGACUAGUAUUGUUUGACCCAGGAGCAACACAUUCUUUCAUAUCACAACGCUUUGUUGAGAUGCAUAAUCUGGACCGGACCCCCCUAGCCAAACCCAUAAAAGUAGAUUCACCAGGAGGCCCAAUAAUUGUGGAGCAUGUCUGCCACAACCGUCCCAUUUGCAUUGAGGGCAUAACCUUUAAUGCUAGCCUAUUUUUAAUUGGCUUAAGAGGAUUAGACGUUAUCCUUGGAAUGGAUUGGUUAGCGAGUCAUGGAGCAAGAAUGGACUGUGUAGAAAAAUCCAUAUCCUUGUGACGCCUGGGUAAUUAAACUACAGUAACCAUCUACUAAUGAUGCCACGUCACCUUGAUUACUGUUGCUAAUCUCGUGUUAGUUUAGAACCGAUCCAAAUUCAAAUUUAAGAUCAAGUCGAACAAUUAAAGUUUUCAAAAGUGAAAACUAAAAUGUUGUAAAUAAGUAAAUCCUAGGUAAUAAUGGUGGAGAAACCUAAAUUUAAUAAAAUGUUUAAGUGUUCAAAAUAAUUAAAACUAUGGGUUAAAUAAUAAAACAAAUGCCUUUGGAAUUUUAUCAAAUAUUAAACUAUUUUAAUUGGGAUGAAAAGUAAUGUGGCAGUAGUUUAUUUAAAAGUACCAAUUUAGGUGUUAGUGAUAAUUUUUACUAAAACUAAAAUAAAAUAUAACUAAAAUAAAACAGAAAAGAAAUCAAUAAAAAGGGAAGAAUAAAAACAGUAAAACAAAGCUAACUAAAAUAAAGAGAAAAGGAACCCCCCCAACCCCCGGGCCAACUGGCCCAGCUGGCCAAGGCCCAACCGGCCAGCCCAACCGGCCCCUCAGUCCCCAUAACACCCCCCAUCGAUGGGAAACCCUAGCCCAUCGCACCCACGCCCCCCACUCGCUCCCCACGUCCCUCCUCCCCUCUCCCCCGAUCCAGAUCUGGAUCGGGGAUGAAACCCCCUCGACGUCGUUCCCCAUCGCGCCCGACCUCUUGCCACGUCAGAGCCCCACCUCGCCCGCGCGGCUGCGCCUGGGGAACCGUCGCCUGCCGCCGUCUCCAGUGCUGUCGUCGACCACCGCCGCCGCUCGAGGACCCGAAGCCGCCUGAUGAUGCCCCAUCGUCGUCACGUCCCCGUCCUCCUCCCCGCCGGACUGCGCCCGCCUCCCCGACGUCGUGACGACGCCUCGUCCCCGUCCUCCUCCACAACGGUCGCCCCCGAGCCUCGCCGCCCCGCUUCUCUCCAACGCUGGUGAGGCCACCUCCGGCCUACACUCCUUCCUUCCCCCACGCCAUCCCGCUCCGGUCACCGCUUCCCUACCACUGGCUUCGCCCCGACCGCCCCGCGCCUCGCAGGCCGUGCGCUGCUCGUGCGCCCGCCCAGGGCCUCGCCGUCGUUGCUUGCUACUCGCCCGGUUAAGCGCGGCGUCCCCCCGCAGCCGUCCAUGUGCCUUCGCCCGCCCCCACUGCCCGCCGCGGCCAUCCCUUUGCUGCCUCUGCUGGCCGCCGACACCGGCGUAUGCCGUGCGUGCCCAGCGCCCCUCGGGUGUGCGCCCGAUCGGGCAGCGCCCGUUCACCCACGCCCGUUUGGCCCUAUGGGCCAAUGACAUGUGGGGCUCAGCCCCUGGAACGUUUAAAAAAUAAUAAUAAAAAAAUAAAAAAAUAUUAAUAUUAAUUAAGUAACUAUUCAAUCAUGUUUAAUUAACUUAAUUAAUUACGUUUAAUUAACCUAAUCAAUUAACUAAACUAGUUAAACCUGUUUAGUUAGCAUUAGUCAAUGACAGGUGGGUCCCAUUGGACCCAUAGGCCAGGUUUGACUCUGGUCAGCUGGGUUUGACCUGCUGACAUCAUGGUGAUGUCAUGCUGACAUCACCUUUCACUGUUCUGGAUAAUGCUCAAAUUAAAUAAUUAAAUAAAUUCUAAAAAUGAUUUAAAACUUUAGAAAAUCAUAUAAAAUAAACCAUAGCUCAGAUGAAAAUACUUUCUACAUGAAAGUUGCUCAGAACGACGAGACGGAUCCGGAUACGAAUCCCGUUCGUCCGCCACACACUCCUAGCAUAGCAAACACGCAACUUUCCCCCUCCCGUUCAUCUGUCCGAAAACGCGAAACACCGGGAAUACUUUCCCGGAUGUUUCCCCCCUUCGUCGGUAUCACCUACUACCGCGUUAGGGCACACCUAGCACCGCGUAUUGCCAUGUUACACUUUGUGAUGCUUUGAUUGCUCUGUUAUUUAUUGUGUUCCCUCUCCGUUACUUCUUUCUGAUAGACCUCGAGACUGCUGGCGACCCCCAGUUCGACUACGAUGUUGACGACCCCUCCUUCUUGCCAGAGCAACCAGGCAAGCCCCCCCCUUGAUCACCAGAUAUCGCCUAUUCUUCUCUAUACUGCUUGCAUUAGAGUAGUGUAGCAUGUUGCUGUUCGGUUACUCCUAUUCUGUUGCAUAGCCUGUCAUUGUUGCUACAGUCAUUGAUACCUUACCCGCAAUCCUAAAUGCUUAGUAUAGGAUGCUAGUUUAUCAUCAUUGGCCCUACAUUCUUGUCAGUCUGCCUUGCUAUACUAUUGGGUCGUGAUCACUUGGGAGGUGAUCACGGGUAUAUACUAUACAUAUAUACAUACUAUAAAGAUGGUGACUAAAGCCGGGUCAGCUCGUUGAGUACCCGCAAGUGAUUCCGAUGUGGGGGCUGGAAGGACAGGUGGCUCCAUCCCGGUAGAGGUGGGCCUAGGUUCCCGACGGCCCCCGACUGUUACUUUGUGGCGGAGCGACAGGGCAGUUUGAGACCACCUAGGAGAGAGGUGGGCCUGGCCCUGGUCGGCAUCCGCGAUUACUUCAUAAUAACACGCUUAACGAGAUCUUGGUAUUUGAUCUGAGUCUGGCCACUGGCCUAUAUGCACUAACCAACUAUGCGGGAAAGAUAUGGGCACUCGACGUCGUGGUAUCAGCCGAAGCCUUCUUGACGUCAGCGACUGAGCGGCGCGCGCCGGAUUGGACCGCGUAACGUGACUUCCUUUGUAAUGGAGGUUGCUAGGUCUGCUUCAAGCCGCCCUCGCAACGUGCAGGUGUGCAAUGGGCGAUGGGCCCAGACCCCUGCGCGCAUAGGAUUUAGACCGGCGUGCUGACCUCUCUAUUGUGCCUAGGUGGGGCUGCGACGUGUUGAUCUUCCGAGGCCGGGCAUGACCCAGGAAAGUGUGUCCGGCCAAAUGGGAUCGAGCGUGUUGGGUUAUGUGGUGCACCCCUGCAGGGAAGUUUAUCUAUUCGAAUAGCCAUGUCCCUUGGUAAAAGGACGACCCGGAGUUGUACCUUGACCUUAUGACAACUAGAACCAGAUACUUAAUAAAACACACCCUUCCAAGUGCCAGAUACAACCCGGUGAUCGCUUUCUCACAGGGCGACGAGGGGAGGAUCGCCGGGUAGGAUUAUGCUAUGCGAUGCUACUUGGAGGACUUCAAUCUACUCUCUUCUACAUGCUGCAAGACGGAGGUUGCUAGAAGCGUAGUCUUCGACAAGAUUAGCUAUCCCCCUCUUAUUCUGGCAUUCUGCAGUUCAGUCCACUGAUAUGGCCCUUUACACAUAUACCCAUGCAUAUGUAGUGUAGCUCCUUGCUUGCGAGUACUUUGGAUGAGUACUCACGGUUGCUUUGCUCCCUCUUUUCCCCCGUUUUCCUCUUCUUCUCGGAUGCCGCAACCAGAUGUUGGAGCCCAGGAGCCAGAUGCCACCGUCGACGACGACUCCUACUACACCGGAGGAGCCUUCUACUACGUGCAGGCUGCUGACGACGACCAGGAGUAGUUAGGAGGAUCCCAGGCAGGAGGCCUGCGCCUCUUUCGAUCUGUAUCCCAGUUUGUGCUAGCCUUCUUAAGGCAAACUUGUUUAACUUAUGUCUGUACUCAGAUAUUGUUGCUUCCGCUGACUCGUCUAUGAUCGAGCACUUGUAUUCGAGCCCUCGAGGCCCCUGGCUUGUAUUAUGAUGCUUGUAUGACUUAUUUAUGUUUUAGAGUUGUGUUGUGAUAUCUUCCCGUGAGUCCCUGAUCUUGAUCAUACAUAUUUGCGUGCAUGAUUAGUGUACGAUUGAAUCGGGGGCGUCACAAGUUGGUAUCAGAGCCAACUGCCUGUAGGAAUCCCCCUUUCCAACUCCUUGGUCGAAGUUGAGUCUAGUCAAUGAAAAUUGUUUUACUAACUUGGCUGUGUGGCCCAUGGGCCUACGUCGCCAAUUGGGUGGUAUUAGGAUCUUUUAUUCCUCGACCUAUACUCUGGGACUCUAAUGUCUCCUCUAUUCGGGUUAAAUGAUUUUGCUAAAAAGACUAACUUUAGGUUCUCGAAAAUACUUUCUCCCGGAGAGCCCCUCCCUCCAGAUGAUCGCUUGCUGCACUAGAAGAUUCCAAAGAUACUCUUCGAGGUUUUUCCGAGACCCUUGUGCCCAUUGACUUUACAAUCCCCUACCACCGAUAUACCCUUAUGGAUAACUACCUACAAUUGUCGUUCAUACCUUCAUCCUUAGUUGCUCUUGUUAUUACAAGAUGCCUUAAAUUGCUCUCCGUUGUUCCGAAAAUCCUUUAAGCUUACUGCGUUGCAGUUCUUUACCACAUGAAUACCCCUAUUGAAAAUUCCUCGCACUUAUUGAGCAUCCGUUCAUCCUCGGUUGUUCGUAUGCUUCAUAAGAUACUCUGAAAUACUAUCCGACCUUCUGAGCAUCCUCUUCAAACUAUUGCUCUGCAAAUACUUGUAUGCUUACAUUAUGGAUGCUCCCAUAUCACUAGCAAUAUUCACUAGUAUCUUUUGACACUGUCAUUUUGAUCCUAUUGAUUCAACAUGUGUGCGAAUGCACACAAUCAUCAAUCGACCCUUCUAAAUUAUCUUUCCGGCUCAGACGUCAUUCUGAACAUGAGCUGGUUCUGGACCAAACUAUUUGUCGCCAAUUGUGCCUCUGGUCUAUCCAACUUAUCCAUCCUUGAUCAGAGUGUCUGCUUCUGAUCCCUUGUUUUGGAAAUCAUAAUUCCUUUGUUAUCUAAGCAUCGAAUUAUUCAGAUGUUCUAUAAUCUGAUGCCCAUGCAUUCUUUCUUCCUCUGAUUGAGUACAGAUACUCACAUCAGCUCCGUUGUGGAUCGCCCGAUCCAUUGUUGGAUUUCAUCCGACAUCGUCCUUCAUAUUCAAUAACCUUGUGAGCCUUUCCACGGGUGUAUAUUGCCUUUGGUAAAUUGUAUCCUCUGCUUGGCCAACCAUGCUCUGCUUUUGAGCUUGUGUAUUUACUUUUGAAACUUGUGGUAUAUGUUCUAAGAUGCCCCGAUGGGUUGAACCUAUGCCUUCCCUAAUCUGUGUGAACCCGGAAGUUUUCGCGGGUCAUACUCCUCUGGUAUUCACUAGGUAGGUUUUGACACUAAAAUCAUUUUUUUGGAGUGAAUGAAAGGUUAUGCAUUGGAGAAGUGGGAGUCGACCUUGAACUUAGUGAUCAUGCCCAUGGAAACGAUGUUGAGCUUAUCAUGAUAGCUUCUCGUAACAAUAAUUAUUCACUUAAUUUGAUCUUGUGUCUAUGAUUUUGUCCUUUGCAAUCGUGGUUCCGACCAUGAUUGUUCUUCUUUGAUCCCAUUCUCGGACAAGUUAAAAGUACUUGCCUUCUGCAGAUCAUUACAUCUGCCCAACCUCUAUUUGAUCUACAUUCAAGUAUUACCCCCUGGUAUCUCGAGGAUAUCAACCCAUUACACUACAUCUUAUGAAAGUAACUUUCCCCGUCACGGUCACUCCACGGGUUCUGGGUUGUCGUCAACCGAGAACAUUGAUUUGUGAAUCAAAUCAACACUGUGAUUCAGUACUUCUAGUACUUUGUUGUUGAGAAGUUUAAUACUCCAUCACGUCAUUCCGAGCCUGAUCGGCCACAUCAUUAUCGUGCUAAUUUAAACUGUGCUACCUGGUCCUUCCAGGAGCACAAGUUUUGAUGAUGAGCUAAGCUUACGCUGAUCUUCCUCGUCAUACCAUUUUGCCUUGAACAACAAGCUUGAUUUUGAGUUUGCAUCGUACUCGUGGUUUUAAUAACCUUUCGCGUCAUCAUUCCUUUGACUUGAUGUCAUCGCCGAUUGAUUACAUCUUCAUGAAAUCUCUCGAAAAUUUUGUUGUGAUCAUCAUCAAUAUUCCGAGCUCUUAUAGGAUAUCAAUUGAAUUCAUGAUGAGAAAGACCAUCCUUGCCCUUGAUGAUUAGUGUUAUCAUCGACCACUCUACUGCCUUCCCUCCAACACAAACUUGUUCGUGUUUUUGUGUUAUACCUUGAGUUCCUUGCUAUCCAGCGUUUGUUCUUCUUUACCUUGGAGUAUUACCAUCUUUUAUGUCAAGGAUGUUGUGAGGACUGCUCCACUUCUUAAGGAAUUCUUGUUAUUAUGAUACUUCUUACCCUCACCCUUCUUUCUUGGUCCCUGUGUUGAUUCUAACCAGGAUACCAACACGUGAACCAUGCUGCUUGGAUUCUGUACUUCUAGCAACCCUAUUUCUUUGAAGUUAAUGGUCGACAUUUCAUCCUUAGACCAUUGGUUAUCGAAUCAUCAUUCUAACAUUGAUCCUGCUACCUAAGCCCAUAUUUCGGGUGCACCUUUCAACCAGUGAUUAAUUGUGUAUGUUUCCCUCGAGCAUACAUCAUUAUAUCAUUUGAUCUGUUAAAUGUUAUCUCCUUGUUCACAUAAUUGUGGAAAUCCACCUUUUUGUAAAUCUCAAUGAAUUUUCGCUGAGCCCAUCAGCCACCUCCUCACCCUCCCCUUGAUUUAAGGAUGAACUCCUGCUUUGGAACUCGCUUCCAUAGUACAUUUCCCGAGAAUCUUACAAUGUCGUCUCGCCAAAUUGUGUUGCACCCCUUCCUUUUCAGGCAUCCUGAGUCUGAGCUAUCCUGACACCAAUCAGAUCCAAAUCUCGGGUCAGAUAUGAUGGUUUGAACUUAUUUCCAAGAGUUUUAACAUUGGUCUUUAUAUGACUCGGUAAGGUGAUGUCAUGCCUAGCACACCUGGCUGGGGAACCCAUUGUUAUAAUACCCCCUCUUUUCAGUAAGGUUAGCCAUUCUUCCAUAAGGGAAUUGUAAGACUUAUUCUAUAAGAUGUUCCUGAUGGAUCCUUGGUGUAUACAAAGCCUGAUCUUUGCUUGAAGACCAUGUCAGUGCUAUCUCGAAGCAUGUCUAUGGUACUCCGAUCUUCAACAAAAACAUUUGAAGCCCAAUGCUAAAUGUUUCCUGCUCGAUUAUCCAAACACCGUUGUAUGGGUAAUGUCAUGAAAAUUCUCUCCCCUACCUAAAGAGUUUACUACAUUAUAUUCUGUCAUGGAUAUCAUGCUCUGCUCGUCCUUCCGAAGGUUAUACCUUUGAAAUAUGUGCUUAAACACAUUUUCCUUUCCAUUGUUCUGUUUAAUCUGAUAAUCAUAUUUUUCUUUCCAUUUGUUGGGUUAACGUUUCUUGUGAUCUAUAUGAGCUAAGCAGUAAUAUUCUCCUGCUUAGGUAAACACCUCGGUUUACAACUCUAUAAGUGUGACCCUAUUACUAUUGCUGACGACAUCCUGGUAACCCCCGAUGGAUGAGAACUUUGCCUAUUGGUCCGCCUCGUUGAACGAGCAGGAAAAUGGUUCUCUUUGUCCCUCGCCCUUGGUACCAACGUUGUUGCCAACAUAACUGACAGGUUAUUCUUUUUUUAGAGAAAAGGCCAAAGCCCGACUUUAUAAAUAAAGCCACAUGGCAGCGUCACGAAUACCCAAGGUUCACACAGUCUCAGAAACACAAAGAGAAGUUAAAUAGGCCCAAAUUCCUAACGAAACAGGCAGCUGCCAAACACGGCACGCAGGCCGGGGAGAAAAGGAGACCUAAUCCCGCAAACUACAGCACCAGGCUUAUACGCCAUGAUUCGUCCUAGAGAUCUGAGAGGCUGAAGCCCGAAUUUUGGCGAUGAGCAGGUCCAGGGCGUCCCGAUCUGGCUCCUUAGUCAAUAAUCUCCACUGCUGCAAGAAUAUACAUGAUUUGAAAAGAACGUCAGCAGGCUUAGAUGGGAAGGUAAGAGACAGGUUAUUCUCUGACAUGCCUUGCUUACAUGAUCAUGCAAGAUGUCAUCCCCCUUCCUACCUUUAACCCACAUGGUGGGCCCAUAACCCACAGUUCCACAGGAUCGAAACCUGACUCUCCUGUACACCCUGUUGUCAAAGUUAUUCCUCACACUUGACUUCGUAUGUAAUUCACGAGCCACCUUCAGGUCUCAUAUCGGACACAAUACUUAUUCCCGUUGCUUUGACCCUUUCACGCCCUAUAACAGGCAUCAAACGAUUGCCCGCCCGCUCGAAACUUCCUAGGAUACCUCCUUACUUUGCUCUCGAUAUUUUCUUAAGUUUCAAUUCGAGAGUUACUUUCCGCCACCUUCCUCGAUGUUUUCGACCCGAUAGUCAACCUUGCCAAGGUCCGUUCUCCCAGAAUGCCCACCCUUUAUUCUUUCAUAAGUACGACGGAGUUCCUGAAGAAAGGACGCCGACUUCAUCAUGAUGACCUGAAGCAGAGAAGUGAAGACAUCAAUGCUAUGGAUCGACCUCUUUGAGAACAGCAACCAAGACCGAGAAGAAUCAUUAGAAUUUCGAAACCUAGUCUUUCCCCCUUACUCCCCUCUUAAAUCUCGGGACGAGAUUUCUUGUAGUGGAGGAGAAUUGUGACGCCCGGGUAAUUAAGCUACAGUAACCAUCUACUAAUGAUGCCACGUCACCUUGAUUACUGUUGCUAAUCUCGUGUUAGUUUAGAACCGAUCCAAAUUCAAAUUUAAGAUCAAGUCGAACAGUUAAAGUUUUCAAAAGUGAAAACUAAAAUGUUGUAAAUGUUUUAAUAAAUCCUGGGUAAUAGUGGUGGAGAAACCUAAAUUUAAUAAAAUGUUUAAGUGUUCAAAAUAAUUAAAACUAUGGGUUAAAUAAUAAAACAAAUGCCUUUGGAAUUUUAUAAAAUAUUAAACUAUUUUAAUUGGGAUGAAAAGUAAUGUGGCAGUAGUUUAUUUAAAAGUACCAAUUUAGGUGUUAGUGAUAAUUUUUACUAAAACUAAAAUAAAAUGUAACUAAAAUAAAACAGAAAAGAAAUCAAUAAAAGGGGAAGAAUAAAAACAGUAAAACAAAGCUAACUAAAAUAAAGAGAAAAGGAACCCCCCAACCCUCGGGCCAACUGGCCCAGCUGGCCAAGGCCCAACCGGCCAGCCCAACCGGCUCCUCAGUCCCCAUAACACCCCCCCACCGAUGGGAAACCCUAGCCCAUCGCACCCACGCCCCNNNNNNNNNNNNNNNNNNNNNNNNNNNNNNNNNNNNNNNNNNNNNNNNNNNNNNNNNNNNNNNNNNNNNNNNNNNNNNNNNNNNNNNNNNNNNNNNNNNNNNNNNNNNNNNNNNNNNNNNNNNNNNNNNNNNNNNNNNNNNNNNNNNNNNNNNNNNNNNNNNNNNNNNNNNNNNNNNNNNNNNNNNNNNNNNNNNNNNNNNNNNNNNNNNNNNNNNNNNNNNNNNNNNNNNNNNNNNNNNNNNNNNNNNNNNNNNNNNNNNNNNNNNNNNNNNNNNNNNNNNNNNNNNNNNNNNNNNNNNNNNNNNNNNNNNNNNNNGUCGUUCCCCAUCGCGCCCCGACCCCUUGCCGCGUCGGAGCCCCACCUCGCCCUCGCGACCGCGCCUGCGGAACCGUCACCUGCUGCCGUCCCCAACGCUUUCGUCGACCACCGCCGCCGCUCGAGGACCCGAAUCCGCCUGAUGAUGCCUCGCCGUCGUCAUGUCCCCAUCCUCCUCCCCGCCGGACUGCGCCCGCCUCCCCGACGUCGUGACGACGCCUCGUCCCCGUCCUCCUCCACAACGAUCGCCCCCGAGCCUCGCCGCCCCGCUUCUCUCCAACACUCGUGAGGCCACCUCCGGCCUACACUCCUUCCUUCCCCACGCCACCCCGCUCCGGUCGCUGCUUCCUUGCCACUGGCUUCGCCCCGACCGCCCCGCGCCUCGCAGGCCGUGCGCUGCUCGUGCGCCCGCCCAGGGCCUCACCGCCGUCGCUUGCUACUCGCUCGGCUGAGCGCGGCGCGCCCCCACAGCUGUCCAUGUGCCUUCGCCCACCCCCACUAACCGCCGCGGCCAUCCCUUUGCUGCCUCCGCUGGCCGCCGACACCGGCAUAUGCCAUGCGUGCCCAGCGCCCCUCGGGUAUGCGCCCAAUCGGGCAGCGCCCGUUCACCCGCGCCCUUGGCCCUAUGGGCCAAUGACAUGUGGGGCUCAGCCCCUGGAACGCUUAAAUAAUAAUAAUAAUAAUAAAAUAUAUAAAAAUAUAUAAAUAUUAAUUAAGUAACUAAUCAAUCAUGUUUAAUUAACUUAAUUAAUUACGUUUAACUAACCUAAUCAAUUAACUAAACUAGUUAAACAUGUUUAGUUAGCAUUAGUCAAUGAUAGGUGGGUCCCAUUGGACCCACAGGCCAGGUUUGACUCUGGUCAGCUGGGUUUGACCUGCUGACGUCAUGGUGAUGUCAUGCUGACAUCACCUUUCACUGUUCUGGAUAAUGCUCGAAUUAAAUAAUUAAAUAAAUUCUAAAAAUAAUUUAAAACUUUAGAAAAUCAUAUAAAAUAAACCAUAGCUCAGAUGAAAAUACUUUCUACAUGAAAGUUGCUCAGAACAACGAGACGGAUCCGGAUACGCAGCCCGUUCAUCCGCCACACACUCCUAGCAUAGCAAACACGCAACUUUUCCCCUCCGGUUCAUCUGUCCGAAAACGUGAAACACCGGGAAUACUUUCUCGGAUGUUUCCCUCCUUCGUCGGUAUCACCUACUACCGCGUUAGGGCACACCUAGCACCGCGUAUUGCCAUGUUACGCUUUGUGAUGCUUUGAUUGCUCUGUUAUUUAUUGUGUUCCCUCUCCGUUACUUCUUUCCGAUAGACCCCGAGACUGCUGGCGACCCCCAGUUCUACUACGAUGUUGACGACCCCUCCUUCUUGCCAGAGCAACCAGGCAAGCCCUCCCCUUGAUCACCAGAUAUCGCCUAUUCUUCUCUAUACUGCUUGCAUUAGAGUAGUGUAGCAUGUUACUGUUCGGUUACUCCUAUUCUGUUGCAUAGCUUGUCAUUGUUGCUACAGUCAUUGAUACCUUACCCGCAAUCCUAAAUGCUUAGUAUAGGAUGCUAGUUUAUCAUCAUUGGCCCUACAUUCUUGUCAGUCUGCCUUGCUAUACUAUUGGGCCGUGAUCACUUGGGAGGUGAUCACGGGUAUAUACUAUACAUAUAUACAUACUAUACAGAUGGUGACUAAAGUCGGGUCAGCUCGUUGAGUACCCGCAAGUGAUUCCGAUGUGGGGGCUGGAAGGACAGGUGGCUCCAUCCCGGUAGAGGUGGGCCUGGGUUCCCGAUGGCCCCUGACUGUUACUUUGUGGUGGAGCGACAGGACAGUUUGAGACCACCUAGGAGAGAGGUGGGCCUGGCCCUGGUCGGCGUCCGCGGUUACUUCAUAAUAACAUGCUUAACGAGAUCUUGGUAUUUGAUCUGAGUCUGGCAACUGGCCUAUACGCACUAACCAACUACGCGGGAAAGAUAUGGGCACUCGACGUCGUGGUAUCAGCCGAAGCCUUCUUGACGUCAGCGACUGAGCGGCGCGCGCUGGAUUGGACCUAACGUGACUUCCUUUGUAAUGGAGGUUACUAGGUCUGCUUCCGGCCGCCCUCGCAACGUGCAGGUGUGCAAUGGGCAAUGGGCCCAGACCCCUGCGCGCAUAGGAUUUAGACCGGCGUGCUGACCUCUCUGUUGUGCCUAGGUGGGGCUGCGACGUGUUGAUCUUCCGAGGCCGGGCAUGACCCAGGAAAGUGUGUCCGGCCAAAUGGGAUCGAACGUGUUGGGUUAUGUGGUGCACCCCUGCAGGGAAGUUUAUCUAUUCGAAUAGCCGUGUCCCUCGGUAAAAGGACGACCCGGAGUUGUACCUUGACCUUAUGACAACUAGAACCGGAUACUUAAUAAAACACACCCUUCCAAGUGCCAGAUACAACCCGGUGAUCUCUUUCUCACGGGGCGACGAGGGGAGGAUCGCCGGGUAGGAUUAUGCUAUGCGAUGCUACUUGGAGGACUUCAAUCUACUCUCUUCUACAUGCUGCAAGACGGAGGCUGCCAGAAGCGUAGUCUUCGACAAGAUUAGCUAUCCCCCUCUUAUUCUGGCAUUCUGCAGUUCAGUCCACUGAUAUGGCCCUUUACACAUAUACCCAUGCAUAUGUAGUGUAGCUCCUUGCUUGCGAGUACUUUGGAUGAGUACUCACGGUUGCUUUGCUCCCUCUUUUCCCAUGUUUUCCUCUUCUUCUCGGAUGCCGCAACCAGACGUUGGAGCCCAGGAGCCAGACGCCACCGUCGACGACGACUCCUACUACACCGGAGGAGCCUUCUACUACGUGCAGGCUACUGACGACGACCAGGAGUAGUUAGGAGGAUCCCAGGCAGGAGGCUUGCGCCUCUUUCGAUCUGUAUCCCAGUUUGUGCUAGCCUUCUUAAGGCAAACUUGUUUAACUUAUGUCUGUACUGAGAUAUUGUUGCUUCCGCUGACUCGUCUAUGAUCGAGCACUUGUAUUCGAGCCCUCGAGGCCCCUGGCUUGUAUUAUGAUGCUUGUAUGACUUAUUUAUGUUUUAGAGUUGUGUUGUGAUAUCUUCCCGUGAGUCCCUGAUCUUGAUCGUACACAUUUGCGUGCAUGAUUAGUGUAUGAUUGAAUCGGGGGCGUCACAAUCCUUGAGAAGCCCAGAAAAUAAACGGAUAACCUUUAAUAGUAGAAGAACCCGAGCGAAAUCAAACCAAGCCUCAGUAGCCACUUUGGACAAAAAGGAGGCUAAAUAUGUACCCGUGGUACAAGAAUUUUUGGAGUAUUUCCGGAAGAAUUACCCGGGAUGCCACCAGACAGGGAGAUAGAGUUCACUAUUGAUAUCAUCCCAGGUACGGCACCCAUAUCAAAACGAGCAUACCAUUUGUCCGCGGAAGAACUAAAGGAAUUAGGAAAACAAUUGGAUGAACAAGAAGAAAAGGAGUUUAUUAGACCAAGUGUGUCACCUUGGGCAGCACCAGUCUUAUUCAUUAAGAAAAAGUAUGAGGCUAUGUGUGGAUUAUCGAGCCUUGAAUGAGGCGACCAUUAAGAAUAAGUACCCACUACCACGGAUAGAUGAUCUAUUUGACCAAUUGAAAGGAGCCACCGUGUUAUCAAAAAUAGAUCUUUGGUCUGGGUACCACCAACUAAAAGUAAAGGAAGAAGAUAUACCUAAGACUGCUUUCAUAACCCGAUAUGGUCACCAUGAAUUCAUGGUUGUUUCCUUUGGGCUAACAAAUGCACCAGCAAUUUUCAUGAACCUGAUGAACCUAGUCCUCGUGCCCUAUUUAGAUAAUUUGUGGUAGUGUUCAUCGAUGACAUCCUCAUAUACUCUCGAAGUAUUGAGGAACAUGUUGAACACCUCCGAAUAGUGCUACAGACCUUGAGAGAAAAACAACUCUAUGCCAAAUUCAAAAAGUGUGAAUUUUGGCUAGAAGAAGUGUCCUUCUUAGGACACAUUAUAUCAGCGAAAGGGAUAGCAGUAGAUCCUGCUAAAGUGGAUGCAGUGUUGGCAUGGAAAUCCCCAAGCAACGUAACAGAGAUUCGUAGCUUCCUUGGUUUAGCUGGAUAUUAUCGAAGGUUCAUAGAAGGCUUCUCCCAGAAAGCAGCCCCUAUGAACAAAUUACUAAGGAAGGGAGUUCCAUUUGACUGGAAUGACAAGUGUGAGCAAAGUUUCCAGGAGUUAAAGAAACGGCUCACAACCGCUCCUGUAUUGGCUCUACCCGAACCAGGCAAAGCAGUCACAGUAUAUUGUGAUGCCUCUAGAGUUGGUUUGGUAUGUGUGCUAAUGCAAUAUGGGAGAGCCAUAGCCUAUGCCUCUCGCCAGUUAAAGCCCCAUGAACAAAACUACCCCAACCAUGACCUCGAGUUAGUUGCCGUGGUAUUUGCGUUGAAGAUGUGGAGGCACUACCUUUAUGGAAACCGUUGUGAACUAUACACGAACCAUAAAAGCCUCAAGUAUAUCUUCACGCAAAAGGAGUUGAAUAGGAGACAAAGACGAUGGUUAGAACUCAUUAAGGAUUAUGACCUUAGUGUCAACUACCACCCAGGAAAAGCUAAUGUGGUGGCAGAUGCCCUUAGCCGAAAAACCUCAUGCAAUCAUGUCAAGAUGCCAACCUAUGAUAAGCAUAUGAUACCUGAGCAGAAGAUGAUGGGAAUUGAAUUCAUACAUAAACUGGUUGAGAAAAUCCUAACCGCAUUAGCAAUCAGACCCGAUUAGUUGGACAAAAUCAAGGAAAACCAGACCAAAGAUGAGUUUAUUUGUGAGGAAAAGCGCAGAAUACAAGAUGGUCAACCAUCAGAAUUCUGAAUAGCGGAAGAUGGAUCACUCUGGUAUUAAACCCGAGUAUGUGUGCCAAAUAUCUUGGAUAUUAAGCAGAUAAUACUCCAGGAGGCACACAACACUCCAUACACCAUACACCCUGGUAGCACAAAAAUGUACCGGGAUGUCAAGGGUACAUUUUGGUGGAGAAAUAUGAAAAGAGAAAUUGCUCAGUAUGUGGAUGAGUGUGACACUUGUAAGAGAGUCAAGGCAGAACACGAGUGACCACCAGGCUUAUUGCAACCUCUCCAAAUUCCACAAUGGAAAUGGGAGGAAAUCCACAUGGACUUUAUCACCGGACCGCCCAAAACAAGAAAACGAGAGGAUAUCAUAUGGGUCAUAGUUGACCGACUCACUAAAUCUGCCCAUUUUAUCCCUUUAGCCCCGGGUUGUUCCAGAGAAAAAUUGGUUGAGCUAUAUAUCCACAUGAUAGUAGCUCUACAUGGGAUACCUUCCAGAAUAGUGUCAGAUCGUGGAUCUAUGUUUACAUCCAAGUUCUGGGAAAAAUUACAAGAAGCAUUAGGAACAAAAUUGGAUUUUAGUACCGCUUACCACCCCCAUACUAGCGGUCAAGUCGAGAGGGUGAAUCAAAUCAGAGAGGACAUGCUAAGGGAUUGUGUGCUAGAUUUUGGUGACUCAUGGAGCAAGCACUUGCCCUUAGCAGAGUUCGCUUAUAACAAUAGCUACCAAGCUAGUAUUGGUAUGUCCCCAUUUGAGGCCUUAUACGGUCGAAGAUGCCGAACCCCAAUAUGUUGGGUGGAAACCGGAGAAAAGAAACUCUUAGCACCCGACUUGGUCCAAGAGACCGAGGAAAAAGUUUCCAUAAUUACAGAGCGGCUCAACACGGCGCAAAGCCGGCAAAAGAGUUACGCGGACAAGAGACGACGUGAUAUACAAUAUCAACCCGGAGACUUUGUUUAUUUAAAAGUCUCACCAAUUAAAGGUGUUAAGUGCUUUGGAUUACAAGGAAAACUAAGUCUGCGAUAUAUUGGUCCCUAUCGAAUCUCAAAAAGAAGAGGGACGGUGGCGUACAAAUUAGAAUUGCCAACGCACCUACAAGGGGUUCAUGACGUAUUUCAUGUUACCCAAUUACGCAAGAGUGUAAAUCCACCAUAUGAGAGAGUCUCGGAGGAAGAAUUAACCCUCCGAAAGGACCUAAUGUAUGAGGAGCAUCCUAGUCGUAUUCUGGACAUCGAGGAAAAAGAAACUCAGGAGUAAAACAACUAAAUAUUGCAAGGUGCAAUGGGGAAAGCAUCCAGUGCGAGAAGCGACUUGGGAAAAAAAGGAUGAGCUUCGAGAAAAAUACCCUUACCUUUUCAAGGUGCAACUUAAAUUUCGAGGGCGAAAUUUUCUCUAAGGGGGAUAGGAUGUAAGAACCGUCAAAAUUAGAUAACGAUAACUUUAACGGCGUUGCCCAAACAUUAAUUAAAAUAAUGGAAACACCUCACAUUUAAUUUUUAUUAUAGCAAAUAGCAUUUGACCAUGCACAACAAAAUAUUCUCCAAAUCUUCAUAUGUUCUACAAAUUUAUAAUCAUAUCUUGGUCUCAUUUCUUUCACAUAAAGUAAAUGCCAACUAAUGGCCAGCCAAGCAAAUUACACUUGUCCCUAGUACAGCCUACAAGAGACACAAGUGGAGGCAUGCAUGUAAGCCUAACCACACAUGCAUGCCAGAUGUAAUGCCUCUCCAAACCGACAUAGCUACUAACCCCACUACAAAUAGGAGCCGUUCCUUUCACUAUGGUCCAUUCCACCUCACACACACACACACUGGAGUACCCCCACCACUUGCCUUUUCACCUUCUGCCACACUGCUGUCCUUCACUGCGGUGAAGCCCUUUGGAUUGCAUGCACCACCAGGUACUAAUCAAGUACCUUGUUGUGUUACCCUUUUUGCUUGAAUUCUUAUGUAUCUUCAUCUCGGUUUGAAUCAGUCCAUGAGCAUCUAUUCACCUUGAUCUAUUUACCUUGCUGUAAAAAGAACAAAAUGUUUGCAUAAACACCCAAGUUAAUCAAAACUAAUUAGAUCAAUUGCAAAAGCUUGUAAAAGUUUCUGUGAAUGACAUCUACGGCUCGUACUAGAUCUAACAUGCCAAGAAUCAAAUCCUAAGUACUAGAUCUAACAUGCCAAGAAUCAAAUCCUAAGU